Molecule: non-coding RNA, 29 nt
Filed under: Rattus norvegicus (Norway rat)
Lineage: Eukaryota; Metazoa; Chordata; Mammalia; Rodentia; Muridae
Source: RNAcentral
UGUUGGUUGCCAUUUUUCCUAAUGAAAGU